AAAGCAGGCUAUCUUAUCGCUUGGUAACAAGAGGAAAGUCCGGACACCAUAGAGCAAGCAUAGCGGCUAACGGCCGUCCGUCGUGAGGCGAGGACAAGUGCAACAGAAAGGAUGUACAGGUAAUGCUGUAGUGAAAUCAGGUAAACUCUAUGCGGUGCAACGCCAUGUAAACCAAUGUUUGAGGGCUGCUCGUCCGAUGUUGGAGGGUAGGCGGUUUGAAUUUGCAGGUAACUGUAAAUCUAGAUAAAUGAUAAGGCUUUGACAGAAUCCGGCUUACGGCCUGCUUUUUAU
RNAcentral lists this RNase P RNA (291 nucleotides) under Pustulibacterium marinum. RNAcentral describes it as "Bacterial RNase P class A". It matches the Rfam family "Bacterial RNase P class A". From Rfam's summary of the family: Ribonuclease P (RNase P) is a ubiquitous endoribonuclease, found in archaea, bacteria and eukarya as well as chloroplasts and mitochondria. Its best characterised activity is the generation of mature 5'-ends of tRNAs by cleaving the 5'-leader elements of precursor-tRNAs. Cellular RNase Ps are ribonucleoproteins. The record is from Rfam by way of RNAcentral. Lineage: Bacteria; Pseudomonadati; Bacteroidota; Flavobacteriia; Flavobacteriales; Flavobacteriaceae.